CCUGGCUCAGGAUGAACGCUAGCGGCAGGCUUAACACAUGCAAGUCGAGGGGCAGCGCGUUGUAGCAAUACGAUGGCGGCGACCGGACGAAAGGGUGCGUAACGCGUGAGCAACCUGCCCGUAUCCGGGGACAUAAGCGGUGGAAACGCCGUCUAAUUUCCCAUAACAACGAGGGCCGCAUGGUCCAUGUUUGAAAGAUGCGUCGGAUACGGAUGGGCUCGCGAGACAUUAGCUAGUCGGCGUGGUAACGGCACACCGAGGCGACGAUGUCUAGGGGUUCUGAGAGGAAGGUCCCCCCACACUGGAACUGAGACACGGUCCAGACUCCUACGGGAGGCAGCAGUGAGGAAUAUUGGUCAAUGGACGAGAGUCUGAACCAGCCAAGUAGCGUGAGGGAUGACUGCCCUAUGGGUUGUAAACCUCUUUUGUUUGGGAAUAAAGUGCGGGACGCGUCCUGCAUUGCAUGUACCUUACGAAUAAGCAUCGGCUAAUUCCGUGCC
RNAcentral lists this ribosomal RNA (500 nucleotides) under uncultured organism. Its description in RNAcentral is "SSU rRNA". It matches the Rfam family "Bacterial small subunit ribosomal RNA", at positions 18 to 509 of the family's 1533-position model. The record is from RNAcentral.